RNAcentral lists this ribosomal RNA (301 nucleotides) under uncultured bacterium. RNAcentral describes it as "partial 16S ribosomal RNA". It matches the Rfam family "Bacterial small subunit ribosomal RNA", at positions 509 to 807 of the family's 1533-position model. The record is from RNAcentral.
CAGCAGCCGCGGGAAUACGUAGGUGGCAAGCGUUAUCCGGAAUUAUUGGGCGUAAAGGGCUCGCAGGCGGUUUCUUAAGUCUGAUGUGAAAGCCCCCGGCUCAACCGGGGAGGGUCAUUGGAAACUGGGAAACUUGAGUGCAGAAGAGGAGAGUGGAAUUCCACGUGUAGCGGUGAAAUGCGUAGAGAUGUGGAGGAACACCAGUGGCGAAGGCGACUCUCUGGUCUGUAACUGACGCUGAGGAGCGAGAGCGUGGGGAGCGAACAGGAUUAGAUACCCCGGUAGUCCCUGUCUCUUAUAC